AUUGAACGCUGGCGGCAUGCCUAACACAUGCAAGUCGAACGGCAGCACAGAGGAGCUUGCUCCUUGGGUGGCGAGUGGCGGACGGGUGAGUAAUGCAUCGGGAUCUACCCUGACGUGGGGGAUAACCUCGGGAAACCGGGACUAAUACCGCAUACGUCCUACGGGAGAAAGCGGGGGACCUUUUAGGCCUCGCGCGGCAGGACGAACCGAUGUGCGAUUAGCUAGUUGGCGGGGUAAUGGCCCACCAAGGCGACGAUCGCUAGCUGGUCUGAGAGGAUGAUCAGCCACAUUGGGACUGAGACACGGCCCAAACUCCUACGGGAGGCAGCAGUGGGGAAUAUUGGACAAUGGGGGCAACCCUGAAUCCAGCCAUGCCGCGUGAGUGAUGAAGGCCUUAGGGUUGUAAAGCUCUUUCACCGGGGAAGAUAAAUGACGGUACCCGGAGAAGAAGCCCCGGCUAACUUCGUGCCAGCAGCCCGGUAAGAGUCACGUCG
Molecule: ribosomal RNA, 494 nt
Filed under: uncultured bacterium
Lineage: Bacteria
Description: bacterial SSU rRNA
Rfam family: Bacterial small subunit ribosomal RNA
Source: RNAcentral